RNAcentral lists this ribosomal RNA (496 nucleotides) under Chaetomium globosum. Its description in RNAcentral is "eukaryotic LSU rRNA". It matches the Rfam family "Eukaryotic large subunit ribosomal RNA", at positions 73 to 577 of the family's 3401-position model. Lineage: Eukaryota; Fungi; Ascomycota; Sordariomycetes; Sordariales; Chaetomiaceae. The record is from RNAcentral.
GAUUGCCCCAGUAACGGCGAGUGAAGCGGCAACAGCUCAAAUUUGAAAUCUGGCCCCUCCGGGUCCGAGUUGUAAUUUGUAGAGGAUGCUUUUGGUGAGGUGCCGCCCGAGUUCCCUGGAACGGGACGCCACAGAGGGUGAGAGCCCCGUCUGGCUGGCCACCGAGCCUCUGUAAAGCUCCUUCGACGAGUCGAGUAGUUUGGGAAUGCUGCUCAAAAUGGGAGGUAUAUGUCUUCUAAAGCUAAAUAUUGGCCAGAGACCGAUAGCGCACAAGUAGAGUGAUCGAAAGAUGAAAAGCACCUUGAAAAGAGGGUUAAACAGUACGUGAAAUUGUUGAAAGGGAAGCGCUUGUGACCAGACUUGGGCGCGGCGGAUCAUCCGGGGUUCUCUCCGGUGCACUUCGCCGCGUUCAGGCCAGCAUCAGUUCGUCGCGGGGGAAAAAGGCUUCGGGAACGUGGCUCCUCCGGGAGUGUUAUAGCCCGUUGCAUAAUACCCU